This 775-nucleotide long non-coding RNA is filed under the name Phoenix dactylifera (date palm). Its description in RNAcentral is "long non-coding RNA (PDAC_LNC016948)". The record is from RNAcentral. Lineage: Eukaryota; Viridiplantae; Streptophyta; Magnoliopsida; Arecales; Arecaceae.
CUUUUUAAUUAAUUAACUCACCAUUUAUGUGUAUUAGGGACUCCUUUGCAUGAGUACAAGGUCCCUUUUAGCUUGAUCUAGGCUUAAUACUCUAUUAUAGCAUGAAAUCCCCUAUUUUCCACCCGGAUGAACAGUAACCCGAACUGACAGUGGGUUACUUCAUCCCAGUUUUGAUCCACUUUCAGGACUCCAAAUUUGAUAAAAUUUUUAUCUAACAUUCUACACUCACAAAGGAUUCCAAAGAGAUAACAUGCAUCAUCAUCGGAGGCCAUUUGACCCCCUAAAUAAUUCGCCGAAGUUGGGACUUCGACACAGUUUUUCCGUAGUGCCGGAAAAAUUUGUUAAAAUCCGAUUCUUCCUCUUUUAACCACCUCUACAAUCCUUAUCCGACCCCUCUAGACUAUAUCCACCCUUUGUAUAGCCUAAUAUCAUCAAAAGACUAGAUAGGGACGGAUAUUUACCUUUUUCUUCUUGUGAAACUUGAGUCCUUGCGUAGAAGGGAAGGAGAUCUACACUUUUCCCUUCAGCUGGCAGCGAACCGGAGCUUCCUUGCACCUCGAAUCCCCUCCCUCUUUCUUCUUCUUCUUCUUCUUCUUCUUCUUCUUCUCUUUUUCCCUCUCUCUGUGUUUCCACGCCUGAGACCUCCUCUCCCUCUCUGUCUCAAUUCCCUCUUCUCAGCCAACCCACCGCCAGACAACCCCCAUUUAAGUCAAAUCAAAGCACUAUUCACCUUUGUUUAAUAUUAUUAAAUUCUCAUUUUGCCCCUAACACUUCA